Non-coding RNA from Gymnogyps californianus (California condor), 72 nucleotides. Lineage: Eukaryota; Metazoa; Chordata; Aves; Accipitriformes; Cathartidae. The record is from the annotation of a RefSeq genome assembly.
GCUGAAGUAGCUCAGCUGGGAGAGCGUUAGACUGAAGAUCUAAAGGUCCUGGUUCAACCCCGGGCUUCAGCA